AAAUGCUUUGGGGAGCUGUAAGUAAGCGACGAUCCAGAGAUGUCCGAAUGGGGGAACCCACUAGCUAAUGGCUAGUACUCCUAUCUGUUAAGGAUAGGUAGAGGAAGACGCAGUGAACUGAAACAUCUAAGUAGCUGCAGGAAGAGAAAGCAAAAGCGAUUGCCUGAGUAGCGGCGAGCGAAACGGCAGGAGGGCAAACCGAAGAGUUUACUCUUCGGGGUUGUAGGACUGCAACGUGGACUUAAAGACUAUAGAAGAACUACCUGGGAAGGUAGGCCAAAGAGAGUAAUAGCCUCGUAUUCGAAAUAGUCUUUAUACCUAGCAGUAUCCUGAGUACGGCGAGACACGAGAAAUCUCGUCGGAAUCUGGGAGGACCAUCUCCCAACCCUAAAUACUCUCUAGUGACCGAUAGUGAACCAGUACCGUGAGGGAAAGGUGAAAAGCACCCCGGGAGGGGAGUGAAAUAGAACCUGAAACCGUGUGCCUACAACAAGUUCGAGCCCGUUAAUGGGUGAGAGCGUGCCUUUUGUAGAAUGAACCGGCGAGUUACGAUAUGAUGCGAGGUUAAGUUGAAGAGACGGAGCCGUAGGGAAACCGAGUCUGAAUAGGGCGUCUUAGUAUUAUGUCGUAGACCCGAAACCAUGUGACCUACCCAUGAGCAGGUUGAAGGUGAGGUAAAACUCACUGGAGGACCGAACCAGGGCACGUUGAAAAGUGCUUGGAUGACUUGUGGGUAGCGGAGAAAUUCCAAACGAACUUGGAGAUAGCUGGUUCUCUCCGAAAUAGCUUUAGGGCUAGCGUCGACAUUAAGAUUCUUGGAGGUAGAGCACUGUUUGGGUGAGGGGUCCAUCCCGGAUUACCAAUCUCAGAUAAACUCCGAAUGCCAAUGAAUUAUGGUCGGCAGUCAGACUGCGAGUGCUAAGAUCCGUAGUCGAAAGGGAAACAGCCCAGACCACCAGCUAAGGUCCCAAAAUAAUUGUUAAGUGGAAAAGGAUGUGGGGUUGCACAGACAACUAGGAUGUUAGCUUAGAAGCAGCUAUUCAUUCAAAGAGUGCGUAAUAGCUCACUAGUCGAGUGACCCUGCGCCGAAAAUGUACCGGGGCUAAAACAAUUUACCGAAGCUGUGGAUACCUUUAUAGGUAUGGUAGGAGAGCGUUCUAUGUGUGGAGAAGGUGUACCGUGAGGAGCGCUGGAACGCAUAGAAGUGAGAAUGCCGGUAUGAGUAGCGAAAGACAGGUGAGAAUCCUGUCCACCGUAAGACUAAGGUUUCCAGGGGAAGGCUCGUCCGCCCUGGGUUAGUCGGGACCUAAGGAGAGACCGAAAGGUGUAUCCGAUGGACAACAGGUUGAUAUUCCUGUACUAGAGUAUGUAGUGAAGGAGGGACGCAGUAGGCUAACUAAAGCGUGCGACUGGAAGUGCACGUCUAAGCAGUGAGGUGUGAAUUGAGUUAAAUGCUUAAUUCUAUAACAUUGAGCUGUGAUGGGGAGCGAAGUUUAGUAGCGAAGUUAGUGACGUCACACUGCCAAGAAAAGCUUCUAGCGUUAAUCAUACUCUACCCGUACCGCAAACCGACACAGGUAGUCGAGGCGAGUAUCCUCAGGUGAGCGAGAGAACUCUCGUUAAGGAACUCGGCAAAAUGACCCCGUAACUUCGGGAGAAGGGGUGCUGGCUUUCAGUCAGCCGCAGUGAAUAGGCCCAAGCAACUGUUUAUCAAAAACACAGCUCUCUGCUAAAUCGUAAGAUGAUGUAUAGGGGGUGACGCCUGCCCGGUGCUGGAAGGUUAAGAGGAGUGCUUAGCGUAAGCGAAGGUAUGAAUUGAAGCCCCAGUAAACGGCGGCCGUAACUAUAACGGUCCUAAGGUAGCGAAAUUCCUUGUCGGGUAAGUUCCGACCCGCACGAAAGGCGUAAUGAUUUGGGCACUGUCUCAACGAGAGACUCGGUGAAAUUUUAGUACCUGUGAAGAUGCAGGUUACCCGCGACAGGACGGAAAGACCCCAUGGAGCUUUACUGCAGUUUGAUAUUGAGUGUCUGUGCCACAUGUACAGGAUAGGUAGGAGCCAUUGAGAUCGGG
RNAcentral lists this ribosomal RNA (2071 nucleotides) under human gut metagenome. RNAcentral's name for it is "bacterial LSU rRNA". It matches the Rfam family "Bacterial large subunit ribosomal RNA", at positions 71 to 2167 of the family's 2925-position model. The record is from RNAcentral.